RNAcentral lists this long non-coding RNA (295 nucleotides) under Carica papaya (papaya). Its description in RNAcentral is "long non-coding RNA (CPAP_LNC003050)". The record is from RNAcentral. Lineage: Eukaryota; Viridiplantae; Streptophyta; Magnoliopsida; Brassicales; Caricaceae.
GCAGAUAUAAGCUAAAGAUCGCGUGGCAACCAAACAAGCUCAAGAUCGCGUCUUUGCUUCACCGCCGGAGGUUGCUUGUCGGUGACAAUCUCACCGGAAAGACUGCAGAAGAACCGGAGAUGAAAUGCAGUAAAUCCUGCAAGAACCCUUUUUUAUGAGGAUAUUGAUGUAUAGCAUCUUCCCCAAGAUGCACUUCUUCUUCUAUUAGCCCUAAUAUUUGUUUGUGUACAAUCUUCCCCUUGCACACAGACUUAUUUACUCCAUGUUAUCUGAGGAUUUACCGCGUUCCAUUUCC